UACGUAGGGCGCAAGCGUUAUCCGGAAUUAUUGGGCGUAAAGAGCUCGUAGGCGGUUUGUCGCGUCUGCUGUGAAAACUGGAGGCUCAACCUCCAGCCUGCAGUGGGUACGGGCAAACUAGAGUGCGGUAGGGGAGGAUUGGAAUUCCUGGUGUAGCGGUGGAAUGCGCAGAUAUCAGGAGGAACACCGAUGGCGAAGGCA
This 201-nucleotide ribosomal RNA is filed under the name uncultured bacterium. RNAcentral's name for it is "partial 16S ribosomal RNA". It matches the Rfam family "Bacterial small subunit ribosomal RNA", at positions 524 to 723 of the family's 1533-position model. The record is from RNAcentral.